GACAAAUUGGUUUCAUUAUAGAGAAUUGAGUUUCGUGAAAUUUUUCUCUUAAACGAAAGGAAGACGUUGUUUUUUUUUUUUUUUGUAUUGACAAAAGCCGUAAAUUGUUGUAAAAUAAAUACUCUUUUUGUGGAUAAUCCAUCAAAUUGAAAAAAGAAGUGAAAAAAUUUCUUUAUCGACGGAGGAAAGGGACUUCAAGUGGGAGAUUGAGGAGUUGAAGGCUAAGGUGAAGUUUCUGAAACUUUUAUUUUUCCACUUCUGUCUUCCUUCAAAUUUGUUCAUUAUUGAGUUUUAUAAAUAUAAUCUUUAACCUUUUGUUGCUAAAUCUGUUUGUUGAGUUUGUUUUUAUUUUUGAAAAUUAGUAUUUACUUCACAUUUCUUUUAACUUUUGAUAAACUGUAAUGGUUAUUCAUAGAUCAGUUAUAUUUGUUUAAUGAUUUUGAAAAGCAGGGAAGUGACGAAUUUUUGCUAAAUUUGUGAGUGUUGUUUUAUGGGAUUGAAGAUUUUUUAAAAUUAUUCUUCAAGAUUUAUUAUUUUCUUUUUGUAGUGCAUUAAUAAAUAAUUUUUUGUAAUAAUGAUUUGAUGGAAUUAUAAAAUAGCUUAGAAUGAACGAAAGGAAAAGAAAUAACAUAUAAUCAAGAAUGAUAUGCUUAACUAUUUUUUUAGACAUUUAGAAAUUUACAACGAGAGAUUGAAUAACAUUAUCAAAUGUUUUUACUUUUCUGUAUCGACAUAUUAUCUAUUAUAGAAGUGAAUGGGUAAAAAUUAGAAAAAGUAGGGAAAGAAGAAAGCAUUAAAUGCAGUUUGUCUAAAUGAAAAUAUUGGAUUGGGAAAUGAGUAUUGUGUAUCUAUACUAUUGUGGAUUAAUGAAGAAAUUUGUACUUAUGAUUUUUGAUAUAAUAUAGGAAUAAUGACAGUUUUGAAAAGUUAUUAUAUUUAAACUAUAUGUUUUUGCAAGGUGAACUAUCUGAAAUUUCUAAUUUUUUAUUUGUUUAAUUUUUUCUGUCUUUCGUUUUAACUAUAAUGGUAACUAAACUAUUUAAUUGUCUAGCAUAAGUUCAAGCAUCUAAAAAAAUUAAAAUUUAGUGUAUUUUUAAUUUAUUUUUUUUUGCUUGUUUAUUUGUAUAGUUAAAUACUUUUUUUUACCAUUAAUUAUUGUUUAUUGUUCUCUUUGUCGUUACUUAAAGCAUAUUUAUGUUUCUCAUUAAUAUUUAAAUUUUGUAUUAUUGAUGUUUAUAUAAUUUUUACAUUGUUAAAAAGUUGAAUGAAUUUAAUAUAUCUUUAACAGUUUGUUAUAACUAAUUUUUGAUGGUUUUUGUGUAUGAAUGGUUUAACACAUUUGCUAAUAAUGUUUAUGUAUUAUUUUAGAUUGUAUUGCUUAGAUUGGAGUUGAAAUAUUUAGUAGUUCUUUCUGCUAUCGUGAUGGAUAUUUUGGAAACAUCUAUUCAUGAAGAUCAUGUUAUUGUUAACUUCAAUGCUGCGUCUCAAAGUGGGAAUGAGUUGCACAGAGCCUUCAGUCGCCAACAAUGAGUUCAAAGAGAGAGAGAAAUGCGAAUAAGAUUUAGAAAUAAUUGUAGUGAUUAUCAUAAAAGAAGAAAUGAUCCUAUAUUACCGAAAAAUAAUUAUUUUGUUGUUACUCGGCUAUAUGAAUCCAUAAUGCAUCAAAAUUCUAACGCUUCAACUUCAAAUCAAAAAUCACAUAAUAUUUUUUAUUCUGAACUUGAAAUAUCUUUAAAAUGAUUGAACAUACCAUCUACUGCACAUAUGUUGCCAACAUCCAGUUAUUGUAAACAUUGUAAUUACCGUAAUUUUUAUUGAGAAAUUAAAGGGUUUUAUUGUUCAGAUGGAAAAGUUAAACUUUUUAUAUGUGACUCACCAGUUCAACUGUAUAAUUUAUUUAUUCUAAAGAACUACAUUUUAUGAAAUUCAAAAAAAUUGUAGGGGGAUAUAAUAAUCAUUUUACUUUCAUUUCAUUUGGUGUAAAAUACGAUAAAGAACUUUCUAAAAUGUAUAAAGGUAUUUACACAUUCAAAGUUCAGGGACAAGUGCAUCAUUAUAUAAAUGAACUUAUGCCCAAAAAUAUUAAGCCUUCUUAUAUUCAGUUAUAUUUUUACGAUACAGAAAAUGAAGUUGAAAAUCAUAUGAAAGUUUUAUCAAACUUUGUUGAAUCUACUUUAGUUGAUUUAAUCGAAAUUUUAAAAACAAAUUUCAUACAGUAAAUUCUUUAGAUCUUUAAGUAAUAUGACUAACUUGCAUAAUCAUCAAAUACAAAUACGAUGUGAUCUAGGACUUGAUCAAAGAGUUUUCAAUACUCCUACAACAUCUCAAGUAGCUGCUAUAUGGGUAGAAGAUGAUGCAAAUGCUAAUGUUCGUGCUUGUGAUAUCACUAUAUAUGGUCAUUAUGAUGAUUCACACAAAGUUCAUUACUAUUAUGGGUGUUAUGAUCCAUUGCAGUAUCCGUUACUUUUUUCAUAUGGGGAAUCUGGUUGGCAUGAAGGCAUUGAGAGAUGUAGAAAUAUGAAUUUUCAGCCUGAUCGUAUGUCAACGUUGGAUGUUUUUUCUAACACAACUACUUCUGUGGCUGAA
Molecule: long non-coding RNA, 2586 nt
Filed under: Olea europaea subsp. europaea
Lineage: Eukaryota; Viridiplantae; Streptophyta; Magnoliopsida; Lamiales; Oleaceae
Source: RNAcentral